GAGCCUGGUAUGAUUUAGCUGUAAUUAUAGUAGAACAAGUUGGGAAGCUUGACGAUAGAGGGUGAUAGACCCGUAUACGAAAUAAUCACAGUGGAACUAAGCAUACGAACAAGUAGGACGGGGCCCGUGGAACCUUGUCUGAAUAUGGGGGGACCAUCCUACAAGGCUAAAUACUCAUGAAUGACCGAUAGUGAACUAGUACCGAGAGUGAAAGGUGAAAAGAACCCAU
Molecule: ribosomal RNA, 229 nt
Filed under: Francisella tularensis subsp. holarctica
Lineage: Bacteria; Pseudomonadati; Pseudomonadota; Gammaproteobacteria; Thiotrichales; Francisellaceae
Description: partial 23S ribosomal RNA
Rfam family: Bacterial large subunit ribosomal RNA
Source: RNAcentral